This 536-nucleotide ribosomal RNA is filed under the name Bifidobacterium longum subsp. infantis. RNAcentral's name for it is "bacterial SSU rRNA". It matches the Rfam family "Bacterial small subunit ribosomal RNA", at positions 161 to 711 of the family's 1533-position model. Lineage: Bacteria; Bacillati; Actinomycetota; Actinomycetes; Bifidobacteriales; Bifidobacteriaceae. The record is from RNAcentral.
UGGUAAUGCCGGAUGCUCCAACUUUUCGCAUGGUUUGUUGGGAAAGCUUUCGCGGUAUGGGAUGGGGUCGCGUCCUAUCAGCUUGACGGCGGGGUAACGGCCCACCGUGGCUUCGACGGGUAGCCGGCCUGAGAGGGCGACCGGCCACAUUGGGACUGAGAUACGGCCCAGACUCCUACGGGAGGCAGCAGUGGGGAAUAUUGCACAAUGGGCGCAAGCCUGAUGCAGCGACGCCGCGUGAGGGAUGGAGGCCUUCGGGUUGUAAACCUCUUUUAUCGGGGAGCAAGCGAGAGUGAGUUUACCCGUUGAAUAAGCACCGGCUAACUACGUGCCAGCAGCCGCGGUAAUACGUAGGGUGCAAGCGUUAUCCGGAAUUAUUGGGCGUAAAGGGCUCGUAGGCGGUUCGUCGCGUCCGGUGUGAAAGUCCAUCGCUUAACGGUGGAUCCGCGCCGGGUACGGGCGGGCUUGAGUGCGGUAGGGGAGACUGGAAUUCCCGGUGUAACGGUGGAAUGUGUAGAUAUCGGGAAAGAACACCA